AGAACGAACGCUGGCGGCAGGCCUAACACAUGCAAGUCGAGCGCUCCGCAAGGAGAGCGGCGCACGGGAGAGUAACGCGUGGGAACCUACCUUUUGGUUUGGGAUAACAUCGGGAAACUGGUGCUAAUACCGGAUAAGCCCUUCGGGGGAAAGAUUUAUCGCCAUUAGAUGGGCCCGCGUUAGAUUAGCUAGUUGGUGAGGUAAUGGCUCACCAAGGCAACGAUCUAUAGCUGGUCUGAGAGGAUGAUCAGCCUCACUGGGACUGAGACACGGCCCAGACUCCUACGGGAGGCAGCAGUGGGGAAUAUUGGACAAUGGGGGCAACCCUGAUCCAGCCAUGCCGCGUGAAUGAUGAAGGCCUUCGGGUUGUAAAGUUCUUUGACGGGACGAUGAUGACGGUACCCGUAGAAUAAGCUCCGGCUAACUUCGCGCCAGCAGCCGC
RNAcentral lists this ribosomal RNA (442 nucleotides) under uncultured bacterium. RNAcentral's name for it is "SSU rRNA". It matches the Rfam family "Bacterial small subunit ribosomal RNA", at positions 26 to 518 of the family's 1533-position model. The record is from RNAcentral.